This 253-nucleotide ribosomal RNA is filed under the name uncultured bacterium. Its description in RNAcentral is "partial 16S ribosomal RNA". It matches the Rfam family "Bacterial small subunit ribosomal RNA", at positions 524 to 776 of the family's 1533-position model. The record is from RNAcentral.
UACGUAGGGUGCGAGCGUUGUCCGGAAUUAUUGGGCGUAAAGAGCUCGUAGGCGGUUUGUCGCGUCUGGUGUGAAAAUCCAGGGCUUAACCCUGGACCUGCAUCGGGUACGGGCAGACUAGAGUGCGGUAGGGGAGAUUGGAAUUCCUGGUGUAGCGGUGGAAUGCGCAGAUAUCAGGAGGAACACCGAUGGCGAAGGCGGAUCUCUGGGCCAUUACUGACGCUGAGGAGCGAAAGCGUGGGGAGCGAACAGG